UCGUCCUCUCCCUGAUCUCCUGUCAGCCGAUUCUGACUGGGAGCUGAGAAAAUACAUAUAACCUAGUAGUAUUAAUGAUUUGAAAAUCACACUCGUAACAAUGGGAGACUGCUUCAGGAAGUACAGCUGAUGAACUUGACAUGUUCAUGAACCCCAAAUAAUCCCAAAUGUUCUUGCAGAAGCCCUGGUUACAUGUAUCCCAGGGACGGCUGUUGCUAGGCAACCAAUGACAUUACCACAGCAACAUCAGCAUAAUCAGAUGACAGAAAGAAAAUGUGGAAAGGUCGUGUGCUGUGCUGGAGGAGAAGACGGAAGAGGAGGGGGAGGAGACCAGAACAGCAUGGUGAGUAAGAAAGAAAGGCGGUUGAGAGAAGGUAUUGGAUGCUAGAUGAUUGUGUGUUGUGCGUGUGCGCACGUAUGUUUGGGUGAACUAUCAUUUUAAAGGGAAAAAGAAAAUUCUGUCAUGAAUUACCCCCCAUGCUGAACACAAAGAAAGAUAUUUGGAAGAAUGUUAGCAACUGACAUUUCUGGGAUAUCAUUGACAGUGAUAUAUGGGAGUCAAAGGUGGCCUAUAACAGUUUGCUUUCCUAUAUUCUUCCAACCUCAUUUUUGGAUAUUACUAUCUUCUUUACGGUAUAAAAACGUACAUACUUAUACUUAUGUAUUUGUCUACCAUUGAUUUGCACACAAUUGUAAGCAAUAUAUGUUAUGUGAGUCUCUAACGUUACAAACAAACCUUACCCUGUUUGUUCAACAUUUUCUGUAUUCAUUUGGCUGUACUGAUAACAAUCAAAAACACAUUAUGAAAAUUCCAUUGUACAUACUUUAUUAUUAAAGCAACAUCUGGUUUAAAAAUCAGUUUUAAAACGCAUAACAGAAUGUGUUAUUACAUGCUGUCCGUAAACUUUCUUCCAAGUGGGAAACCUAAAAAAUCGUUCCUAGUGGUGAAGCUUUCGGUUGUUUCUAUCGUGUGUCUUAGUAACAUAUUACACAAGAAGAACGUACCAUUGUAUCUCUAAAAUAAAGUGAAAUUGAAUGAAGAAGGGUUGAUAUCUCAAGAUUCUUUCACCCAAAAAUGAAAAUUCUGUCAUCAAUUACUCACCUUCGAGUUGUUCCAAAUCUGUAUAAAUGUAUUUGUUCUGAUGAACACAGAGAAAGAUAUUUGGAAGAAUGCUUAUAACCAGACAGAUUUUGCCCCCCAUUGACUACCAAAGUAGGAAAAAAUACAAUGGUAGUCAAAAGUGCCCCAGAACAGUUUGCUGUCCAAAAUGUCUUCUUUUGUGUUCAAGUAAUUUUUCCAACUAUGGGAGUCAAAAUCUUUCCGGCUAUAAGCAGGGGUUAAAUUGGACCGGGGCCGUCCGGACCACAGUUUAAGUUUAAGUUACAAUUUACCUCAGUGUAUACACUUACAAUGUAUACACUGAAGUAUUCAUCUCGAAAAAACGAAUCUAUAUGCAACACAGUAACCCAACUCACAGUCGUACAUUAACCGCGUGCGCGCAGAAAUCAUUCCCUGCAUUCCAUUCCGAAGUGAUCAUUCCUGUGCCCUACUCUCUGUGUAAGCUCUGAAAGGAAAAACGCAAUUGUCCGUUUAACAUUCACUGGGCAAAAGGAGCAAUAAAAACUAUUUUGACUAAGUGGCAUUUUGUAUAGUGUCUCCUACCCGAAUGGCCCUUCGGAGGGAGAUAUUCUGUUUGGAACGCUCCGCGUUUGUGAUUCCUUUCUGCAGCAAAUCUGACAUGAUGCGCGGUACCGCUUCUCGUCCGGUGCGCUCUGUUGUUUUAACGUUUCAAGUUAUAAUGCGCUGUUUGUGAAGAAAGGCUCGAUUUCCAAAUUUUGUAAUUUUUAUCAAAUUCAAGCAUUUAAAGCGGUUUGUUUAUGGUUUGUGCGGCAGCAACGAUGCACAAGUUAAUGGGUCAUCUCAGUCAUUGUGAAUGUAGUUUUGACAGAAAAGUAGCCUAUUGUAAAUACAAAGGUCAUACAUACAAUUCUAUGGACAAUAAUAAACUAAUUUGAUAUUGACACAAGGAAAGGGCACAGGCCUACAGAAAGAUUUUAUUUUUACAUGUAGCUUUGUAAACUGCUGGCAUCUAGAAUGAGUUUGAUCAGAAUUUUAUUGUUCAUAGCAAAGGGCUCUCUCAACUUUUAUUUUACAGUUUGUCAAAAAAUAAGAUUAUAAUCUUCAUAUACGCACCCUUCAAAAUCCCCCACAGAGCCCCCAGCACAUAACAAAUCCCAAUUUAACCCCUGAUUAUAAGCAUUCUUCCAAAUAUCUUUCUCUGUGUUCAUCAGAACAAAGACAUUUAUACAGAUUUGAAACAACACGAAGGUGAGUAAAUGAUGACAGAAUUUUCAUUUUUGGGUGAAAUAUCCCUUUAAUGCGUAUGCUUAUGUGUGUGUGAAGCAUACAUUUAUAGCAUGACUAACAGAUGUGGCGGAGAGGCAGUGAUGUCAUUCAGCUAUUUAUAGACUCUCUAACAUGCAAAAAAUGUCCCUUCAUCCAAAUCUCGAAUCACCUUAUAUAAAGCUUUUACAUUGUACCCAGACUGCAUGUGCAUACAAUAAUUGUCUUAGAAGCAGGCUGAUGGUAACACACAUGCACACUACUGAUGACAAAAUCUGCUGAUCCGAUAUAUUGUGUGUGUUUGUCUGUGUGAAUUUGUCUACGUGUUACAAAGAGCGAGAACAGCAAAAGCGGGAGAAUGAUGAUAUGUGUCUGAAAUCUAGCCACAGCAGUUUUUCAAACUAAUGAGGAAGAUGUGACAUUAUCGUGUGUGUGUUUGUGUACAUUCAUCUAUUGAGAAUUUAAUCCUAAUAACAAGCUUCAUCAUAAGUAAUGAUAGUUCAGGGUUAGCAACCCAGCUGUUUGUGCUACCUACGGUAUGUUCAUGUGUGUGUUUGCAAUGCAUACACCCCUACACGAUUCAUUGUGCCCAGGGCUGGGCAGUAUUUAUGAUACAUGUAUUUAAAAUACAAAACAGUAUUUUGUCAUUUGUAUUUGAUUGGGUCGAUGAAAAUGGCUUCAUAUUUUGUAUCUAAAUACUUCAGUGUUUGUAUUUUUGUAGUUUCAAAAUACUGCAAAAUACGUUGUAAGAAGUCUACGUGAUGACAUCAUAAAAAUGCGGCCUCUGAUUGGUGCCUACUCUGUAGUUUGCCCGGACUUGUUGUUGAGGGCGGAACAGAACAUUGGAAGAAGGUGGUCAAGGUAAGAAACGUGCAGGCUGUAAGAUUUCCAUCUGUCUAUUGCAUAAAUUGCUUCAAAAGAGUUUAUGUUAAGUUUUGUUCUUCGUGUUAGUAGCCUAGGCUAAAUACUAGUAUACGGUAAGGCAUCAGCUAGAUAGCUAAAGAGACUCUGCAAUGUAGUCCACAGGCUACACACACACAAUCACAAAUUUACUCUCUUACCCACAUUCACACAUGAGUUUAACUGUUUCUGUUAGACCUUUGUUAAGUGUUUUGGAAUACCUGCUCUCUUGUAUUCUCUGUUGUAUGGUUGGAAUUGGAUUAAUACUCCUUGAGAAGUUCUGUUGAUACUUAUUGAUUAUAUUUUUGGCUACUUUUAAACAUUUUAAAUAUAACUUUUGCUACAAUGUUUGCUUUCAGCUACCAAUGAUAUUAUUGAAUGACUAUAAUGUUUGUCAUUGAGUCAGUGUUGCUGAUGCACAGAAGGCCCUUUGUUACCAAACACCAAGUAACUAAAUUAGGAUACAAUUACAAGUCAGUUGCAAACUGUAAAACAUUAAACUGUUGGUAACUUUAAAACUAACCUUCAUCUGGGAGACCACAGCCACGCAUAUGUGAAUAUUUGAUCUGUUAACUGAUUGCAUAUGUCAGAUUUAUUGCAUGACUUGGGCAGAGAAAAGCUGUUGCUAUCAAACAUUGUUUACUUAAUCCACAGAAUCCGUGUAAUGGUGAAGGGAUAGAUCAAAUAGGCCAAUUGAUGGAGGGUUUGUGAAGAAAUUUCAUGCUCCCUUGUAAAAGUAUUUUGUAGUAUUUUUAAAAUACAGUCGUUUAUUUUGAUACAUGGUGUGGCCGCUGUAUUUUGUAGUUUAUUUUGAUACACUUAAAAGUAAGGUAUUUGGUAUUUUAUUUAAAAAAACAUUUUGAUGUAUUUUUGCCCAGCCCUGAUUGUGCCCACAUACAUUUCAGUUAGCGCUAAGUGCUAGCCUAGUGCUAAUAAACUCUGAGGACCCACACCUGGAGAAGAGGCAUGAAAUAUCUAUUUCCAUGCAGACUAAGACACAAAACAAGGACUGCACAUAUAUACAGUUAAUUCCAGACGGCUAUAUACAGUAAAUUAAGAAAACUAUUGAGAUAACUGUGUAAAUUUUGUGACAGAAUAGCAUAUGCAACAUUCCCCUGGGGCUAGUUGUCACAAAAUGUUUUAUAUGUAGGCUAUUCUCUGCAAGUUCAUUUUUGUAUUUUUAACGAAGGUCAUUAUAUAGGUUAUGAGAAAAAAACAGGUAUGUGUUUUUACCACACAAAGGCCUUGUGGAUUAGGAGUCAUACAUUUAACACUGAAUCCCGACGCACAAGGAAGACGGUGAGCUACACUUAAUCUCAACUUGAUUGCUUGUUUUAAAACCCUUGGCCCAAAACCUCUCUCAUCCCUCCAACCUCUUCUUUAUUCCUGCUCUUUCAUCUCUCCUUAAUCCCGGUCUAUUCCUAUUUUGUCCUUUAUUCCUUUCACAGAAGUCAUUACGCAACGAGGACGCAUGGCAUGCGGUCACAUUAAUCUGGAGGGGGGGUGACGUCUGUAUGUGUUGCAGAGACCUCUGUUCUCUUAAUACUCCAAUACUCCCUGUCUCCUUCAUUUAUCUGUGUAAUUCACAUUCUUCUGUUCGCGGCGUGUGAUGCUGUGAACUUUACUGAGGUUGUUUCCUCCUCCGCAUCCCCAUUAAGACUCUCAACCCUGCAAGGUCGUUUCCAAGGACACCGUGCUCUUACUGUUUGGCCUCCUGAUUGGCUAUCUGCCUCUUAAAGAGGAAGUGCCCAGUAAGCACAUGUCGUUCUGAAUCGAGCGGCGUAACCUCACGCUCACGCAGCCAUCACAGCAAACUGCAGAGUCAGCAGUCACAGCGUCACAAAAUCUGAGCUCUUCAAUUACUUAAGAUGCGCCCUUUAAAAAAUACAUCCCUUUUGAGAGAGAAUGUUCAUUUCCCAGUCUAAGUAGCACAAGCCCACGUUCAUCUCUUAAAGUUAAUCUAAGAAUACUAAUCACAAUUCUUCUUUUAGUUUAUGGAUGAGGCAACUAAUUUGAGGAAACUUCUGCAUUCAUUAGAUUCCUUAUUUUGUCCUUCUGACAGUGAGCGUGACCUAAACAGAGUUCUGACCUAGUUUAGGCACAGAAGUGAAUGAUGGAUUUUUAGACUGUAAAUGUUUGACCUUUAACAGAUAUUUGAUCUUACUUAGUUUUAUUCUGAUCUCAUGUCCUCCACAUGUUUCUGCCUCUCCAACCUCCUCCUGUAUUGCCUCUCUAUGUGUGCUUACUCUCAUCCAAAUUGAUUCCUUUUCUCUUUCCUGACAACACUGAUCAUUUCACAGAAUAUGUUCAUUUUAUAUUUUAAAGCUGUUAAUGAAGAAGUAGGUUUAGAUCAUGCUACCCUAAAACAUAAUGCAAUUGUCAGAGAUUAAAAUGAGGGUUUCUUUGACUCUUGCCUCCAUCUUUUCCUCAUUUCCCCCUGUUCUGAGUCAGCAAAAUGACUAAGAGAUGAUCACCUGACCGCUGUUGCUGUGGAGACGGAGAUUUUUUUCCCUCUCUCUGCAGCAAGGGGGGUACUGGAAAAGGUUAAAGAAGGAUAGAGCAUGGUGUUAGCCAUUUUGUUUUUUUAAUUUUUUUGAAAAAACUUUAUUUGUUAUACUGUGUAGGCCAAAGACUACACAGCAUGGUUUUGCUAUUGGGGACUUUAUUUGGUACACAAUUUAUUAACCUAUAAGCCCUGUGAUGUUUCGUUAACUGAUGUGGUCAAAAGCUUUGUGAUUUCAAGGUAAAUAGUCAAUGCAAUAUGUUACACGCUAUGUACAUACAUUUUCUAAUAUUAUAAAUCUGAUAAAUCUGAAUAGCACAAAAAAAUCAUACAUUUUUUUGUGAUCUAUGCAAUGACAUGCAGGUUUACUUUUAUCGCAAGUGCAGUGGGGGUUGUAGCCAAGUUUGACAGAUAGCUUAUACCAACAAUUGAGGGCGGCACAAUGUCUGUCCCCUCUGCAAUACAGAACCACUACUUUACAUUGCAAAUCAACACACUGGCCCGGUUUUGUGUCCUCAGAGAAUAUAUUAUCAGGUGCAUUCUAUCAAACCCUAUAUGCAUCUCUUAUGUGUAGUGAUGCGUUUUUUAAUUUAACAGCUCAAAUACAGUUGCCACAUGCCCUGCAUAUUUGCUCAAAUAUUAACCCAAAUGUUCUCGUUCAGUUCAAUAACCUGGUGCUAGAUCUUUGUUUCAUAUAUGAACGUCUAUGUGAUGUACAGAGGUUAGUGGUGAGGGGUCUGAAAAUGGUGAGUCUGACUUUGGUAAAGAUACUGUUUAUACUGUUCAGAUGUUUGGAGUAAGAGGAGUUUUCUGUCUCUGUGAUACUCUUGCUUAGCUGUGAAAGAAACCAUCAGUAUGAUUUAUUUUCCCUGAUAUAUGCAGUUGUCUGUAACAUGAAUUUGUGCAGUUUGUUAUUUGUAAAAGCGGAUAUAAAUACAUAACAUGUGCCUACAGUUCUUGAAGGUCAAAGCAUAUGCGCUGGCAUCCUACGCUUGACCUUUCGUCAUUUUUCCAGGGUCACCGAGUUUAAGGUCACACUUUGAUUCUUUUAGCAGCACAAUAUGCAGCCGUCUAUGUUGCAGUUCCCUUUUCUGAGCUGAACUCAACAAUGAACUAGGUGUUCAGAUUCACUACAAUAAGGAAAGAGAUGAAUAGAUAAAGAAAGAGAGCAAGAUAUACACUGAACAUGAAGGAAAGCUAGAGAUAUUUGCCAAAGAUUGCAGCAUUCUUAUAUAAAUAAUUACAAUAAUUGUUCAUUGUCCUAGUGUAAAAAAAUACAAUACAGACGUGCACAACACACACAAAGACCAAAGUUUAAUAUUGUAAUUCCAUCUGAUAACUUAGUGUGCUUUAGACCUGCUGCAGUGAUGGCUAGUCCUACAUGUUCCUGCAUGUUCUCGUUCUGGAUAACAUUUAAUUUAACGUAAGAAAACAUUCAAACAACCAAUAAACCAAACACGUUUACAAUACGCUAAUCAUGCAACCACACCGAUCGAGACUUAGCUUAUUUUUAGUCCAUUUUAUCAAAAAGAGAUUUUCUCAGAGCACACGAUGAUGCUGUACCGCUGUCACCUUUGGA
Triplophysa rosa is the source of this 7326-nucleotide long non-coding RNA. RefSeq lists it as uncharacterized. NCBI's taxonomy places the organism in Eukaryota, Metazoa, Chordata, Actinopteri, Cypriniformes, Nemacheilidae. The record is from RefSeq and is a predicted model, not a curated record. The transcript has 3 exons.